This is a non-coding RNA of Manis javanica (Malayan pangolin), 545 nucleotides long. The record is from RefSeq and is a predicted model, not a curated record. NCBI's taxonomy places the organism in Eukaryota, Metazoa, Chordata, Mammalia, Pholidota, Manidae.
CAAUAAGUGGCGCCCCGCCGCUCUUUCGGCCUUAUCGCCAUCUUUUCUGGUGGGUGGCUUUUCCAGCCGUUUUUGGUUUUCCCGUACAAUCCAUUAACAUCUCUUCUCCGCACUUAACCAUCAUUACAGCAAACUAACUGUAGCAUUUACCCCUUUACUCGUAGAAACUUCCGCGCCAUGAGAGCCAAGUGGAGGAAGAAGCGAAUGCGCAGGCUUAAGCGAAAAAGAAGAAAGAUGAGGCAGCGGUCCAAGUAAACCGAUAGUCUGUGCACCAUGGAAGCCACAGGAGCAGAAAUAAGGAAAACCAGAGGCCAGUGGUAAUGGUACACAUUAGUGGACUGAAUGCCUGUCUCAGUGGAUCUGAAACAUUGACCAUCAUCCGAGGCAGCGACCACCUUGGCAAGACUCACGUUGUCCAUACUAAAACAGUCCCUUUUGGUCCUUUGCCCUGGACCUGUGACAUCCUGGACUAGUUGUUUUCUGUUGUGGCCGAAUGUAACAUGUGUACAAUAAAUCUUUCCUGCUGUCUUAGCUGAAGAAAAAAA